RNAcentral lists this ribosomal RNA (465 nucleotides) under Vreelandella stevensii. RNAcentral's name for it is "partial 16S ribosomal RNA". It matches the Rfam family "Bacterial small subunit ribosomal RNA", at positions 338 to 795 of the family's 1533-position model. Lineage: Bacteria; Pseudomonadati; Pseudomonadota; Gammaproteobacteria; Oceanospirillales; Halomonadaceae. The record is from RNAcentral.
CCUACGGGUGGCAGCAGUGGGGAAUAUUGGACAAUGGGGGCAACCCUGAUCCAGCCAUGCCGCGUGUGUGAAGAAGGCCCUCGGGUUGUAAAGCACUUUCAGUGAGGAAGAACGCCUGGUGGUUAAUACCCAUCAGGAAAGACAUCACUCACAGAAGAAGCACCGGCUAACUCCGUGCCAGCAGCCGCGGUAAUACGGAGGGUGCGAGCGUUAAUCGGAAUUACUGGGCGUAAAGCGCGCGUAGGUGGCUUGAUAAGCCGGUUGUGAAAGCCCCGGGCUCAACCUGGGAACGGCAUCCGGAACUGUCAAGCUAGAGUGCAGGAGAGGAAAGUAGAAUUCCCGGUGUAGCGGUGAAAUGCGUAGAGAUCGGGAGGAAUACCAGUGGCGAAGGCGGCCUUCUGGACUGACACUGACACUGAGGUGCGAAAGCGUGGGUAGCAAACAGGAUUAGAUACCCGGGUAGUC